UUGACCUCGGAUCAGGUG
RNAcentral lists this ribosomal RNA (18 nucleotides) under Sticta laevis. RNAcentral's name for it is "partial 28S ribosomal RNA". The record is from RNAcentral. Lineage: Eukaryota; Fungi; Ascomycota; Lecanoromycetes; Peltigerales; Lobariaceae.